This is a non-coding RNA of Acanthosepion pharaonis, 116 nucleotides long. The record is from the annotation of a GenBank genome assembly. NCBI's taxonomy places the organism in Eukaryota, Metazoa, Mollusca, Cephalopoda, Sepiida, Sepiidae.
UUACGGCCACAUCAUCCUGAAACACCGGUUCCCGGUUCCCAUACGAUCAUAGAAGUUAAGCAACGUCGAGAUUGGUCAGUAUCUAGAUGGGUUACCGCUUUGGAAUAGCAGGUGCU